UGUCCUACGGGAGGCAGCAGUGGGGGAUAUUGCACAAUGGGGGCAACCCUGAUGCAGCGACGCCGCGUGAGCGAUGGAGUACUUCGGUAUGUAAAGCUCUGUCAGCAGGGAAGAGAAUGACGGUACCUGACCAAGAAGCCCCGGCUAAAUACGUGCCAGCAGCCGCGGUAAUACGUAUGGGGCAAGCGUUAUCCGGAUUUACUGGGUGUAAAGGGAGCGUAGACGGCGAUGCAAGUCUGAAGUGAAAGCCCGGGGCUCAACCCCGGGACUGCUUUGGAAACUGUAUGGCUGGAGUGCUGGAGAGG
Molecule: ribosomal RNA, 305 nt
Filed under: uncultured bacterium
Lineage: Bacteria
Description: bacterial SSU rRNA
Rfam family: Bacterial small subunit ribosomal RNA
Source: RNAcentral